This 468-nucleotide ribosomal RNA is filed under the name uncultured bacterium. Its description in RNAcentral is "partial 16S ribosomal RNA". It matches the Rfam family "Bacterial small subunit ribosomal RNA", at positions 28 to 507 of the family's 1533-position model. The record is from RNAcentral.
GACGAACGCUGGCGGCGUGCUUAACACAUGCAAGUCGAACGGAAAGGCCCUGCUUUUGUGGGGUGCUCGAGUGGCGAACGGGUGAGUAACACGUGAGUAACCUGCCCUUGACUUUGGGAUAACUUCAGGAAACUGGGGCUAAUACCGGAUAGGAGCUCCUGCAGCAUGGUGGGGGUUGGAAAGUUUCGGCGGUUGGGGAUGGACUCGCGGCUUAUCAGCUUGUUGGUGGGGUAGUGGCUUACCAAGGCUUUGACGGGUAGCCGGCCUGAGAGGGUGACCGGCCACAUUGGGACUGAGAUACGGCCCAGACUCCUACGGGAGGCAGCAGUGGGGAAUAUUGCACAAUGGGCGGAAGCCUGGUGCAGCAACGCCGCGUGCGGGAUGACGGCCUUCGGGUUGUAAACCGCUUUCGCCUGUGACGAAGCGUGAGUGACGGUAAUGGGUAAAGAAGCACCGGCUAACUACGUG